GUGAGUCAUCGAAUCUUUGAACGCACAUUGCGCCCCUUGGUAUUCCGGGGGGCAUGCCUGUUCGAGCGUCAUUACAACCCUCAAGCUCUGCUUGGUCUUGGGCGUCACCGGUCCCCGGUGUGCCUUAAAAUCAGUGGCGGCGCCAUCUGGCUCUAAGCGUAGUACACACUCUCGCUACAGACGCCCGGUGGAUGCUGGCCAGCAACCCCCAUUUCUUAAGGUUGACCUCGGAUCAGGUAGGGAUACCCGCUGAACUUAAGCAUAUCAAUAAGCGGAGGA
RNAcentral lists this unclassified non-coding RNA (279 nucleotides) under Pezicula sp. RNAcentral describes it as "partial contains 5.8S ribosomal RNA, internal transcribed spacer 2, and large subunit ribosomal RNA". The stretch from base 1 to 71 matches the Rfam family "5.8S ribosomal RNA", at positions 84 to 154 of the family's 154-position model. Lineage: Eukaryota; Fungi; Ascomycota; Leotiomycetes; Helotiales; Dermateaceae. The record is from RNAcentral.